GACGAACGCUGGCGGCGUGGAUUAGGCAUGCAAGUCGAACGGUAUCAUCCUUUCGGGGGUGAGAGAGUGGCGAACUGGUGAGUAACACGUAGGUUAUCUACCCUCAAGACGGGGACAACCCAGGGAAACUUGGGCUAAUACCGGAUGUGAGCAACUUUUAGUUGUUUGAAAGGUGGCGUAAGCUGUCGCUUGGGGAUGAGCCUGCGUCCUAUUAGUUAGUUGGUGAGGUAACGGCUCACCUAGGCAAUGAUAGGUAGGCGGCCUUAACGGGUGGUCGCCCACACUGGGAUUGAGAUACGGCCCAGACUCCUACGGGAGGCAGCAGUCGAGAAUAGUCUACAAUGGUCGGAAGACUGAUAGUGCGACGCCGCGUGAACGAUGAAUCCCUUCGGGGUGUAAAGUUCUUUUAUAUGUGAGCAGUGCUUCUUAUAUUAACAGUAUGGGGAGAGAGAUAUUAGCAUAUGAAUAAGCAACGGCUAACUCCGUGCCAGCAGCCGGGUAAAACGU
RNAcentral lists this ribosomal RNA (507 nucleotides) under uncultured bacterium. Its description in RNAcentral is "bacterial SSU rRNA". It matches the Rfam family "Bacterial small subunit ribosomal RNA", at positions 28 to 528 of the family's 1533-position model. The record is from RNAcentral.